This 253-nucleotide ribosomal RNA is filed under the name uncultured bacterium. RNAcentral describes it as "partial 16S ribosomal RNA". It matches the Rfam family "Bacterial small subunit ribosomal RNA", at positions 524 to 776 of the family's 1533-position model. The record is from RNAcentral.
UACGGAGGGUCCAAGCGUUAUCCGGAAUCAUUGGGUUUAAAGGGUCCGUAGGCGGUUUAAUAAGUCAGUGGUGAAAGCCCAUCGCUCAACGAUGGAACGGCCAUUGAUACUGUUAAACUUGAAUUAUUAGGAAGUAACUAGAAUAUGUAGUGUAGCGGUGAAAUGCUUAGAGAUUACAUGGAAUACCAAUUGCGUAGGCAGCUUACUACUCGAUCAUUGACGCUGAGGCACGAAAGCGUGGGGAGCAAACAGG